Molecule: unclassified non-coding RNA, 396 nt
Filed under: Hevea brasiliensis (rubber tree)
Lineage: Eukaryota; Viridiplantae; Streptophyta; Magnoliopsida; Malpighiales; Euphorbiaceae
Source: RNAcentral
GGGGAAAAACACCUCGAUUUUAUAAAUGCAUUAAAGAGGAUUAAAAGAAGAAAAGGAAAAGUGAAGACAUCAAAUGAAUUUUGUCCUAGAAACAUCAGUAGAUUAGUUACACAAUUUUGUGUUUGCUUCAAUUGCUCUAUAGCUUGAUUUGAUUUAGUGCUCUUUCGCCAAUUGAGAAGUACAUGUGAUGGUUUGGAGCUUAUAUUUUGAAUGAAUAUCACAAUGUGAUGAUGGUGUGAUUUAUGCCUUGGUUUAUGCUUUGAGCACCAAGCAUGAUGACCAAAGCCUUAGGAAAUGAAAAUUCCUGGCACCUUUCACGUUUAAAAACAAUGGUUCUCCCAUUUUUCCACAGUACAUUGGACAAGAAAAACAAAGAGAUGAUAGAUGAGAUUCAGC